RNAcentral lists this ribosomal RNA (467 nucleotides) under uncultured organism. Its description in RNAcentral is "partial 16S ribosomal RNA". It matches the Rfam family "Bacterial small subunit ribosomal RNA", at positions 335 to 798 of the family's 1533-position model. The record is from RNAcentral.
ACUCCUACGGGAGGCAGCAGUGAGGAAUAUUGGACAAUGGGUGGAAGCCUGAUCCAGCCAUCCCGCGUGCAGGAAGACGGCCCUAUGGGUUGUAAACUGCUUUUAUCUGGGGAUAAACCUACUUACGUGUAAGUAGCUGAAGGUACCAGAAGAAUAAGCACCGGCUAACUCCGUGCCAGCAGCCGCGGUAAUACGGAGGGUGCAAGCGUUAUCCGGAUUUAUUGGGUUUAAAGGGUCCGUAGGCGGACUGAUAAGUCAGUGGUGAAAUCCGACAGCUUAACUGUCGAACUGCCAUUGAUACUGUUAGUCUUGAGUAAGGUUGAAGUGGCUGGAAUAAGUAGUGUAGCGGUGAAAUGCAUAGAUAUUACUUAGAACACCAAUUGCGAAGGCAGGUCACUAAGUCUUAACUGACGCUGAUGGACGAAAGCGUGGGGAGCGAACAGGAUUAGAAACCCUUGUAGUCCCAU